This is a long non-coding RNA of Apodemus sylvaticus (European woodmouse), 699 nucleotides long. RefSeq lists it as uncharacterized. The transcript has 3 exons. The record is from RefSeq and is a predicted model, not a curated record. Lineage: Eukaryota; Metazoa; Chordata; Mammalia; Rodentia; Muridae.
CACCAGCCUAAGAUCUCCUAGAGCUGCAGUAGCCAACUGUUAUGAGUUGCUUGACGUGGGUACGCAGGUGCUGCACACUGAACUCUGAGUUGCUUGACGUGGGUACGCAGGUGCUGCACACUGAACUAUGAGUUGCUUGACGUGGGUACGCAGGUGCUGCACACUGAACUAUGAGUUGUUUGACGUGGGUACGCAGGUGCUGCACACUGAACUAUGAGUUGUUUGACGUGGGUACGCAGGUGCUGCACACUGAACUAUGAGUUGUUUGACGUGGGUACGCAGGUGCUGCACACUGAACUAUGAGUUGCUUGACGUGGGUACGCAGGUGCUGCACACUGAACUAUGAGUUGCUUGACGUGGGUACGCAGGUGCUGCACACUGAACUAUGAGUUGUUUGACGUGGGUACGCAGGUGCUGCACACUGAACUAUGAGUUGUUUGACGUGGGUACGCAGGUGCUGCACACUGAACUAUGAGUUGUUUGACGUGGGUACGCAGGUGCUGCACACUGAACUAUGAGUUGUUUGACGUGGGUACGCAGGUGCUGCACACUGAACUAUGAGUUGCUUGACGUGGGUACGCAGGUGCUGCACACUGAACUAUGAGUUGCUUGACGUGGGUACGCAGGUGCUGCACACUGAACUAUGAGUUGUUUGACGUGGGUACGCAGGUGCUGCACACUGAACUCAUGUCCUAUGGA